CGGCAAAGGGUGAGUAAUACAUGGGUGAUGUGCCCUUGACUCCGGCAUAGCUUCGGGAAACUGAGGGUAAUUCCGGAUAGUCCUACUGGAUUUCAUGGUCUUGUAGGUAAAGGUGGGGAUCCUUCGGGACCCACAGGUCAGGGAGCGGCUCAUGCGCUAUCAGCUUGUUGGUGAGGUAACGGCUCACCAAGGCUACGACGGCUAGGCGGUCUGAGAGGAUGACCGCCCACAUCGGGACUGAGACACUGCCCGGACUCCUACGGGAGGCUGCAGUCGAGAAUCAUCCGCAAUGGGCGAAAGCCUGACGGUGCGACGCCGCGUGAGAGACGAAGGCUCUAGGGUUGUAAACCUCUUUCGCCUGUUAAGAAUGUGCUGGUGUUAAUAGCAUUAGUGCUGACAAAGGCAGGUAAAGAAGCACCGGCUAACUCCGUGCCAGCAGCCGCGGUAGACGGAGGGUGCAAGCGUUACUCGGAAUUACUGGGCGUAAAGGGUCCGUAGGCGGCCUGGAAAGUUGGAUGUGAAAUCCCACAGCUUAACUGUGGAACUGCGUCCAAAACUAUCAGGCUAGAGGAUGGUAGGGGACAGUGGAACUCAAGGUGGAGCGGUGAAAUGCGUAGAGAUCUUGAGGAACGCCGGUGGCGAAAGCGACUGUCUGGGCCAUUCCUGACGCUGAGGGACGAAAGCUAGGGGAGCGAACGGGAUUAGAUACCCCGGUAGUCCUAGCUGUAAACGAUGACCACUAG
This 743-nucleotide ribosomal RNA is filed under the name uncultured bacterium. Its description in RNAcentral is "bacterial SSU rRNA". It matches the Rfam family "Bacterial small subunit ribosomal RNA", at positions 96 to 819 of the family's 1533-position model. The record is from RNAcentral.